Small nuclear RNA from Etheostoma spectabile (orangethroat darter), 117 nucleotides. RefSeq annotates it as U5 spliceosomal RNA. The record is from RefSeq and is a predicted model, not a curated record. The transcript has a single exon. NCBI's taxonomy places the organism in Eukaryota, Metazoa, Chordata, Actinopteri, Perciformes, Percidae.
AUCCUCUGGUUUCUCUUCAUAAUACACAAGACUUUUGCCUUUUACUAAAGACUUCCUUGGAGGAGAAACGCUGAUGAGUUGAAACUAUUUUGUGGGGCUUUGCUGUUUGGGCCGAGC